AUUGAACGCUGGCGGCAGGCCUAACACAUGCAAGUCGAGCGGGGUUUUCGGACCUAGCGGCGGACGGGUGAGUAAUGCGUAGGAAGCUACCCGAUAGAGGGGGAUACCAGUUGGAAACGACUGUUAAUACCGCAUAAUGUCUACGGACCAAAGUGUGGGACCUUCGGGCCACAUGCUAUCGGAUGCGCCUACGUGGGAUUAGCUAGUUGGUGAGGUAAUGGCUCACCAAGGCGACGAUCUCUAGCUGGUUUGAGAGGAUGAUCAGCCACACUGGAACUGAGACACGGUCCAGACUCCUACGGGAGGCAGCAGUGGGGAAUAUUGGACAAUGGGCGCAAGCCUGAUCCAGCCAUGCCGCGUGUGUGAUGAAGGCCUUCGGGUUGGUUAAAG
RNAcentral lists this ribosomal RNA (390 nucleotides) under uncultured bacterium. RNAcentral's name for it is "bacterial SSU rRNA". It matches the Rfam family "Bacterial small subunit ribosomal RNA", at positions 30 to 430 of the family's 1533-position model. The record is from RNAcentral.